CCUUUGUUAUUGGCCUUGUCGGGUAAAACUGCGGGACAGGUUAAACAGGUGACAAGGUGUCAGGUUUCAGCGGCUGGUUUCUUCCACACACACGAUACAGAGGCAGACAACAUACAAUCUUGGUCCAAAUUUGCUUCCUUAAUAUCAAACAUUCAACUUCCUAACAAAUAGUCCAGCCAUGGGACAGAAGUAUGACGGGUUGUCCCAUUGUAAGCUCGCUCUGGUGUUUGCCGUGGUGAUGGACGUGCUGGGUGUGACGUCCCUGCUGGUAGGCAUCUUCGCUUCCCUAGAGAUCCAGGGCGAAGACUUUGGGGAUCUGCUGGUGUACUCUGGAGUUCUGUUGGUCCUGUUUUCCAUGGCCGGCUGGGUGCUUUGGUAUAGUGGCAACAUCGAAGGUCUGCAUUUACAAAAAGACCUGAAUGGACGUUUGGGUUCUGCUAUGGACCGAUUGGCUCGCUCUGUCAGCCGGAGGAUGCGGCUCCCCAGGACGCGCAGCAGUCCCAGUUAAACAGUCGAGACAUCAGCCUGGUUUUGAUUCUUGUUGAGCCAAAUUACUUGAAACAAAAGCAUAAUUCAGGGCUUUUCUUUCUGUCAGUUUUUGAUAAAAAAGGCCUGUCAACCUUUGUUUUUAGAAACAGAAUAUGUAUGUUUUGCUUAAGUAUGUGCACAUGCACUAGUUUAUAUAGUCUUUAAUAUUAAAACUAUUGCAAUGAA
Molecule: long non-coding RNA, 714 nt
Organism: Xiphophorus maculatus (southern platyfish)
Lineage: Eukaryota; Metazoa; Chordata; Actinopteri; Cyprinodontiformes; Poeciliidae
Exons: 2
Source: RefSeq, a predicted model, not a curated record